This 552-nucleotide ribosomal RNA is filed under the name uncultured bacterium. RNAcentral describes it as "partial 16S ribosomal RNA". It matches the Rfam family "Bacterial small subunit ribosomal RNA", at positions 355 to 900 of the family's 1533-position model. The record is from RNAcentral.
UGGGGAAUUUUGGACAAUGGGCGCAAGCCUGAUCCAGCCAUGCCGCGUGCGGGAAGAAGGCCUUCGGGUUGUAAACCGCUUUUGUCAAGGAAGAAAUCUUCUGAGUUAAUACCUCGGGAGGAUGACGGUACCUGAAGAAUAAGCACCGGCUAACUACGUGCCAGCAGCCGCGGUAAUACGUAGGGUGCAAGCGUUAAUCGGAAUUACUGGGCGUAAAGCGUGCGCAGGCGGUUUUGUAAGACAGAGGUGAAAUCCCCGGGCUCAACCUGGGAACUGCCUUUGUGACUGCAAGGCUUGAGUGCGGCAGAGGGGGAUGGAAUUCCGCGUGUAGCAGUGAAAUGCGUAGAUAUGCGGAGGAACACCGAUGGCGAAGGCAAUCCCCUGGGCCUGCACUGACGCUCAUGCACGAAAGCGUGGGGAGCAAACAGGAUUAGAUACCCUGGUAGUCCACGCCCUAAACGAUGUCAACUGGUUGUUGGGAAGGUUCCUUCUCAGUAACGUAGCUAACGCGUGAAGUUGACCGCCUGGGGAGUACGGCCGCAAGGUUGGAAC